GAUGAACGCUGGCGGCGUGCCUAAUACAUGCAAGUCGAGCGAACAGACGAGAGUGCUUGCACUCUCUGACGUUAGCGGCGGACGGGUGAGUAACACGUGGGUAACCUACCUAUAAGACUGGGAUAACUUCGGGAAACCGGAGCUAAUACCGGAUAAUAUUUAGCUUCGCAUGAAGCAAUAGUGAAAGACGGUUCUGCUGUCACUUAUAGAUGGACCCGCGGUGUAUUAGCUAGUUGGUGAGGUAACGGCUCACCAAGGCAACGAUACAUAGCCGACCUGAGAGGGUGAUCGGCCACACUGGGACUGAGACAUGGCCCAGACUCCUACGGGAGGCAGCAGUAGGGAAUCUUCCGCAAUGGACGAAAGUCUGACGGAGCAAUGCCGCGUGAGUGAAGAAGGUUUUCGGAUCGUAAAACUCUGUUGUAAGGGAAGAACAAGUACGUUAGUAACUGAACGUACCUUGACGGUACCUUACCAGAAAGCCACGGCUAACUACGUG
Molecule: ribosomal RNA, 499 nt
Filed under: uncultured bacterium
Lineage: Bacteria
Description: partial 16S ribosomal RNA
Rfam family: Bacterial small subunit ribosomal RNA
Source: RNAcentral